GCCUUAGUGGUGUAAUGGUCAGUACGUUGGACGCAUAUUUCAGAGGUCCGGGGUUCGAGUCCCGGGGAAGGCG
RNAcentral lists this transfer RNA (73 nucleotides) under Stegodyphus mimosarum. It matches the Rfam family "tRNA". Rfam says of the family: Transfer RNA (tRNA) molecules are approximately 80 nucleotides in length. Their secondary structure includes four short double-helical elements and three loops (D, anti-codon, and T loops). The record is from Rfam by way of RNAcentral. Lineage: Eukaryota; Metazoa; Arthropoda; Arachnida; Araneae; Eresidae.